Molecule: ribosomal RNA, 253 nt
Filed under: uncultured bacterium
Lineage: Bacteria
Description: partial 16S ribosomal RNA
Rfam family: Bacterial small subunit ribosomal RNA
Source: RNAcentral
CGAAGGUGCAAGCGUUACUCGGAAUUACUGGGCGUAAAGCGUGCGUAGGUGGUUCGUUAAGUCUGCCGUGAAAGCCCCGGGCUCAACCUGGGAAUGGCGGUGGAUACUGGCGGACUAGAGUGCGGUAGAGGGUGGUGGAAUUCCCGGUGUAGCAGUGAAAUGCGUAGAGAUCGGGAGGAACAUCUGUGGCGAAGGCGGCCACCUGGACCAGCACUGACACUGAGGCACGAAAGCGUGGGGAGCAAACAGGAUU